UACAGAGGGGGCAAGCGUUGUUCGGAAUUACUGGGCUUAAAGGGUUUGUAGGCGGCCAUGUAAGUCAGGUGUGAAAUCCCUCGGCUCAACCGAGGAACGGCGCUUGAUACUGCAUGGCUUGAGGGAGACAGGGGUAAGCGGAACUGAUGGUGGAGCGGUGAAAUGCGUUGAUAUCAUCAGGAACACCGGUGGCGAAGGCGGCUUCCUGGACCGACACUGACGCUGAGGCGCGAAAGCUAGGGGAGCAAACGGG
RNAcentral lists this ribosomal RNA (253 nucleotides) under uncultured bacterium. Its description in RNAcentral is "partial 16S ribosomal RNA". It matches the Rfam family "Bacterial small subunit ribosomal RNA", at positions 524 to 776 of the family's 1533-position model. The record is from RNAcentral.